AGUACAAUCAAAUCCUUUGCGUGAUACACAUAAUUUAAAAAGAUCCAAAAAAAACCUCAAAUCGUACAAAAAUCUAAACAAGCCACAAUUUCCACAAACAAACUAAGUCUUCUAUAGACCUAUUUUCUUUAGGCUUGACAAGUACUCCUUAACCCCAGAACCAAAAUGUGCUGCGGAGGUUGCGGACCCUGCUGCGGUGGGUGCUGCGGCGGUUGCUGCUGUCCAUGCAUCACCAUCUACACGUGCUGCACCAAGAUUUGCUAGUAUCGCACGCUUGCCGUCGCGGGCGGGCCAUGGACGCCCGUAGCGGUUUCUUCGGGGAACACCCGAAACUUGCUUCGUCUACGAAGUACCGUGCCGUUUUUGUGGAAAAAUAAAACUACUAUAAGCGUA
Ostrinia furnacalis (Asian corn borer) is the source of this 393-nucleotide long non-coding RNA. RefSeq lists it as uncharacterized. The record is from RefSeq and is a predicted model, not a curated record. Lineage: Eukaryota; Metazoa; Arthropoda; Insecta; Lepidoptera; Crambidae. The transcript is spliced from 2 exons.